AUUGAACGCUGGCGGCAGGCCUAACACAUGCAAGUCGAGCGGUAACAGGAAGAAGCUUGCUUCUUUGCUGACGAGUGGCGGACGGGUGAGUAAUGUCUGGGAAACUGCCUGAUGGAGGGGGAUAACUACUGGAAACGGUAGCUAAUACCGCAUAACGUCGCAAGACCAAAGAAGGGGACCUUCGGGCCUCUUGCCAUCGGAUGUGCCCAGAUGGGAUUAGCUAGUAGGUGGGGUAACGGCUCACCUAGGCGACGAUCCCUAGCUGGUCUGAGAGGAUGACCAGCCACACUGGAACUGAGACACGGUCCAGACUCCUACGGGAGGCAGCAGUGGGGAAUAUUGCACAAUGGGCGCAAGCCUGAUGCAGCCAUGCCGCGUGUAUGAAGAAGGCCUUCGGGUUGUAAAGUACUUUCAGCGGGGAGGAAGGGAGUAAAGUUAAUACCUUUGCUCAUUGACGUUACCCGCAGAAGAAGCACCGGCUAACUCCGUG
Molecule: ribosomal RNA, 490 nt
Filed under: uncultured bacterium
Lineage: Bacteria
Description: partial 16S ribosomal RNA
Rfam family: Bacterial small subunit ribosomal RNA
Source: RNAcentral